This 732-nucleotide ribosomal RNA is filed under the name uncultured bacterium. RNAcentral describes it as "bacterial SSU rRNA". It matches the Rfam family "Bacterial small subunit ribosomal RNA", at positions 1 to 776 of the family's 1533-position model. The record is from RNAcentral.
UUUCGCCCUUAGAGUUUGAUCCUGGCUCAGAGCGAACGCUGGCGGCAGGCCUAACACAUGCAAGUCGAACGGACCCUUCGGGGUUAGUGGCGGACGGGUGAGUAACACGUGGGAACGUGCCUUUAGGUUCGGAAUAGCUCCUGGAAACGGGUGGUAAUGCCGAAUGUGCCCUUCGGGGGAAAGAUUUAUCGCCUUUAGAGCGGCCCGCGUCUGAUUAGCUAGUUGGUGAGGUAACGGCUCACCAAGGCGACGAUCAGUAGCUGGUCUGAGAGGAUGACCAGCCACACUGGGACUGAGACACGGCCCAGACUCCUACGGGAGGCAGCAGUGGGGAAUCCUGCGCAAUGGGCGAAAGCCUGACGCAGCCAUGCCGCGUGAAUGAUGAAGGUCUUAGGAUUGUAAAAUUCUUUCACCGGGGACGAUAAUGACGGUACCCGGAGAAGAAGCCCCGGCUAACUUCGUGCCAGCAGCCGCGGUAAUACGAAGGGGGCUAGCGUUGCUCGGAAUUACUGGGCGUAAAGGGCGCGUAGGCGGAUCGUUAAGUCAGAGGUGAAAUCCCAGGGCUCAACCCUGGAACUGCCUUUGAUACUGGCGCUCUUGAGUAUGAGAGAGGUAUGUGGAACUCCGAGUGUAGAGGUGAAAUUCGUAGAUAUUCGGAAGAACACCAGUGGCGAAGGCGACAUACUGGCUCAUUACUGACGCUGAGGCGCGAAAGCGUGGGGAGCAAACAGG